UACGGAGGGUGCAAGCGUUAUCCGGAUUCACUGGGUUUAAAGGGUGCGUAGGUGGGCCUGUAAGUCAGUGGUGAAAUCUCCGGGCUUAACCCGGAAACUGCCAUUGAUACUAUAGGUCUUGAAUUUUCUGGAGGUCAGCGGAAUAUGUCAUGUAGCGGUGAAAUGCUUAGAUAUGACAUAGAACACCGAUUGCGAAGGCAGCUGACUACAGGAACAUUGACACUGAGGCACGAAAGCGUGGGGAUCAAACAGG
RNAcentral lists this ribosomal RNA (253 nucleotides) under uncultured bacterium. RNAcentral's name for it is "partial 16S ribosomal RNA". It matches the Rfam family "Bacterial small subunit ribosomal RNA", at positions 524 to 776 of the family's 1533-position model. The record is from RNAcentral.